This 72-nucleotide transfer RNA is filed under the name Myotis davidii. It matches the Rfam family "tRNA". From Rfam's summary of the family: Transfer RNA (tRNA) molecules are approximately 80 nucleotides in length. Lineage: Eukaryota; Metazoa; Chordata; Mammalia; Chiroptera; Vespertilionidae. The record is from Rfam by way of RNAcentral.
GCCUGCAUGGCUCAGUGGUUGAGCGUCUACCUUUGAACUAGAAGGUCAUGGGUUCGAUUCCCUGUCAGGGCA